CACGUAGGGUGCGAGCGUUGUCCGGAAUUAUUGGGCGUAAAGAGCUCGUAGGCGGUUUGUCGCGUCUGCUGUGAAAACCUAAGGCUCAACCUUGGGCUUGCAGUGGGUACGGGCAGACUAGAGUGCGGUAGGGGAGACUGGAAUUCCUGGUGUAGCGGUGAAAUGCUUAGAUAUGACACAGAACACCGAUUGCGAAAGGCAGCUAGCUAACCG
RNAcentral lists this ribosomal RNA (213 nucleotides) under uncultured bacterium. RNAcentral's name for it is "partial 16S ribosomal RNA". It matches the Rfam family "Bacterial small subunit ribosomal RNA", at positions 524 to 736 of the family's 1533-position model. The record is from RNAcentral.